GGGUCUGCAGACCAAUAUGGGAUGAUGACCUUCUGGAGACCCGUUGGUCGGGGGUUCAAGUCCCCCCGGCCCCACCA
This 77-nucleotide transfer RNA is filed under the name Candidatus Bathyarchaeota archaeon. RNAcentral's name for it is "tRNA-Ser". The record is from RNAcentral. RNAcentral also lists the same sequence under 1 other name. Lineage: Archaea; Thermoproteati; Candidatus Bathyarchaeota.